AGGACCGGUCAACUUGUUUUCUGUUCUUCAUUUUAUCUGCAUCCUGAGGCUCAAUUACUUCAGCAGCCUUCUCAUCAUCAGUAGCUUUCACUUCAGUAUUCGCUUUUGCAUCUACUCUCUCUUCACAGUCUGAUGAUGAUGAAGUAGGUGAUUUAGAUGCUGAAUGCUGACCUGGCAAAGCUUCAGAGUAUUCAGGGUAUAGUCGUUCAUCCUGAGUAGUUAGGGCUAGAUCAGUUUUAUCUUUUUGUUCCAUAUUUGCAGCUGGAAUUUGACCAUUCUCCAUUGGUGGAACUGCAGCAGUGGAUGCAGGAGCACAGGUAAAGCCUGUGUGCAGAGGAGCACAUAUAGGAAGCAGUCCAUGGGCGGUCCACCAUGCAGUGGCAGCUGCUACUGUUGCAGCAGCAAUUGCGGCCAUACUAGGAGCAGAGUUCAUUUGUGUAGAUGGGAAACCUCUUAGUUCAUUUGCAGGAGAAUCGCCAGAACUUUCAAUGUUUGCAUAUGGCCAAAAUGUAGCUGCAAAACUUGCUGCAGCAUGAGCAGCUGGAUUCUGUAACAAAGUAGAUACAAUGAGAUUGGAAAAAGUGGAGCUGACAUGUAGAAAGGAUCGAUACUCCUCUUGAUCGGGCCGAAGAUGUAUAAAGGGAGUAUGAAAAGGUGGCAAUGCCUGAUGAGUAGAUUUUGGUGCAUUAUUCUUAUGUUCAGUAGUUGCUGAUGCAGCUGGAUUUGCAAACAGGUUAGGUCCAUGAACAUUGCCCGUAGGGUGAAAUACAGAAUCUUGAAAUGACAUACCCAGGGAAGGAUUUUGAACACAUGUUCUAAGGCUUCCAUCUAGGACAUGCACAGCAACAUGCCGAGGAUAAUUUUGAGCAGCUUGCAUCUCAUCUGCACAAAAAUCACCAUCCAAAUCAUCUUUUCUCUGGCCUUGAGCUGAUUUCUCAUAUGAAGUGCAAGACUUCUCCAAGUUUGAAGCCUUACUUGUACCAUUAUCAUGAAAUGUCUGUUGGACAUUAAGUUUAUAAGGUUCACAAAUUUCUUUAAGUUCAAGAAUAACAUAGAAUUCAUGUUUUUCAUGAUUUACUACCUCUUUUGGCAAAGGUACAAACUCCCUGAAUGUACAAGAGCUUUUGAGUGCAGUUGACAUUGGUAUAAAAUUCUUAUUCAUGGAAGACGCAGAGGAGCAGUUUUGUUCGUGGAGAAGGGUAAAAACCUCAGAGCAACUCUGGUCUUGAUUUUCUUUCAGGUUUGUAGCCUUUUCAUCUCCAGUAGGUCUCUGACAAACACAAUAUAUUUGAAGCUUACGUUAAAAAGGAGAAAAGAAAAAGAACAUAAUUAAGAGCAUGAAUAAAGUAGUUGAGGAGGAGAAAGAAACCUCCGGAAGUGGUUCUUUCUCCAAGUCCAACAUUUGCUUGCAACGCAAAGAAGAUAAUGGCAUUUCAGAUUUUCCAUCCUUAGCUCCCUCUUGUACUGUAGUAGCAGCACCAGUUUUUCGAGGAUAAGGAUUGCUUGGUUUUCUUUUAGGGCGUGGAGGUGGAAUCUCUAUGUCAAGAGCUUGACCUAUUGGUACACCUUUAGCAAGUGCCUCCUUCUCCAACUGAGAAUGGAUUAUUGUCAGUAGCAUCAAUAAAAUGAUAAAACAUAAGAGAAAUCUUACGAGUUUUUGGAGGCACCAAUGAAGCAUCAAUAUAAUAUUAACAAUGUGCAACACUAAAAUUAAUGAUAGGAAUGACAUAACUAAAUGCAACAUGAUCAUAUCUAACCAGUAUAAUUCCAAAUAUUAUCAGGAAACAAGAAGUCCAAGUAUAUAAUUGCUCUACAAUCUACAAAUAUCUCACACAGGAGGUUCAUACAAAAUUUUAUACUCCUGUUGUCAAUUAAUAUGGCCUGUUUUAUAACAUUAGAUUAGAUUAGAUUCUUCUUUUAUCCUUUCAUCCCAUAACAUGUCUGCUCAAGACUCGUCAGCAAUAUAAUACUUGAAUGUAGCAGACAUAAACACAGCCCACAGUUGAACAUAUACAUAGACAAAGAUUGACUAAAUAAAAAAGGGGGGGCUGGUUUAGCCGAGCAGUCAGUUCUGCUCGGCUAAACCAACCCCCCAUUUUACUAGGAGAAGAGAGGAUUAGCUGUAUUUAGAUGAAAAGAAAAUUACCAGUGGUUUCUUAAGAAACACAGUUUAGGUACUGCAUAAAUAAGAUUAAUCAAACCAUCUAUAAUGUUCAUUGUCAUGUAAAAUUGAGAUCAUUAAAGGUUAGGACUUCAGACUGAAGAAAGUAUUUGAUAAAGCUUUAACCAUAAUAUUCUUGAACAAUCUUCAUUUGCUUACUGUCCUGAUAAGAUUUAUCACUCACGAGCUAAUCGAGAUAAAAAUGUUAUGCAUGCAUUUGUUUGCGACAUCAGAAAUAUGAAAAGGAAAAAAAGAAGGAAGUAAUGCAUUACCAUGUACCUAACUUUAACAUAAUUGGCAGGUGACUGCCGAUAACCUGCAGGAAAUAAGUCUUUAAGAGAAGAAUCCAGUAAAAUCUUACUUUUACUGAAGAUGUAUACUUAAGGAGGAUAAUCGCUUAAGACAGACCUAUAGGAUGCAUACCUCAAAUCAAACAUCAUAAUUAGCUACAAGGCACAUCUAACAGACAUGCUGCUGUGAGCUUGGCUGCAAAACUUAAGGUACUAUGGGGAAGAUUGAUCCCAGUAUGAUCACCUAGAAGGUAUAAUAUAGUUUCAAUUAGGACUUAUCUUUCUGAUUAAAAGAAAAAUAUGCAGAUCAGAAUUUUAUGUUCCACAUUACUAGGAAAGGAAAUUAGUUGUAUCAUAAAUGAUAACAUCUAUAUAGAAGGUAUGAUCCUUAAGCAUAAAUGAGUACCCAUCUUGCAUUUCAAGCUCUCCCAAUUCCCAGAAAUGGAAGAACAAAAAUAAAAUUCAUUUUUUAGAUCUAACGAGUAUCUGGCUCACACCAGCAAUAUGGCUAAUGUUUGAAGAGAUUUCUCACCAGUAAUCUAAAGUUCUAAACACAUCAACAAACUCUAUAAUUCAACAAAUUCGUGUCAUCCCUGCUAGUACUAACUACUACUCAUCAUAUCCACUCUAAUGUUAGAUAAGAUCAUUUGGUAUUAUGAGAUCAACAUCUUCAACAGCCCUAAACUAAGUAGAUAUAAGCCCUAAACUUCCACCACAUAAAGGAGAUAAUAAAAAGUAGGCAAUAAAAUGCAAAAAAGAUAUAAGCCCUUGAGAUAUUGUCUUGAAAGGAUGUGAAACUUGCCACUAUAAAAGCUUUUAACAAAAAAAUGAUCCUAAAAUCAAAAGCUAUAAGCUAUCAAAUUUACCCUAACUGCAGAUUCAUUGCCAACCUUGGAUGCUGAUGAAUUGAACUAUUAGCAACCUUGAGAUGCUCUACACAUAAAGGAUACACUAAGCGGUAAUUCUAACUUGCAAUGACUAGCAUACUGGCCAUGGAUGCUAAAGAUUUCAGUUUAAACCAGAACCAAAAUCUAUGCAUAUAAUAUAGCAACAAAGAACAUGAUAGGUGGGCUCACCCCAAAUUCACUUCCUAGUUCUAUACCUCAUAAUGAUGUAUUUUCACUCUGUAUACAAACUCACUUCUUAGUUCUUACUAUACCUCAUAAUGGUGUGUUUUCACUCUCUAUACAAAUUUAGACUACAUGUAUCUACAUGACCCUUUUAUCCAAAGAAACCAAAUAUUUUAACUUUCAAAACCUCUGCUGUGGUAGGUUAAGUACAAAAUUGCUUCAGCAAGUUCCCAGACAAGAGGAUGCCUUGCACAUAAAAGGUUAGUGAAGGGCACAUUAGAAAAAAACCUUUUAUGACAACUUAAAAAACCAAAAAUGCCCUUUUUUAUUUCGGACUCCAAGGGUGAUAAACCAUCUUGCGCAGCCAAUUUCGUACAGAGACCAAAUAAAGAGAAUUCAAAUAGCUUACAUCCCCAAAAUCAAAUUCGUAGGGAAGAUAAAAGGCUAUCACCCUAAAUACGGUUUAAAUAUUUAGCAGCUCAGAUUCUUAUUUAACUCAAGUUGCUGCCUUUUCUAUAUAUAUUAAUAAACAAACUCCAGUGUACUUCUUUACAUAGUUGGUUAUAAUUUUGAUCGGUCAUAUAUGAUUGAUGUUUUUGACACAGAAAGCUAUACAUUCGCUUCGUAUAUUUUCUUUGUUGUUUUAAAUCUAACAAAUUUGUUUAUACAAGUGAGAAAAUGAAGUAAUAGAAUAAUCAGUAAGAUUUCCCAACCGUUCAAGAUAGUACAGUUGACGAUUCGAUAUUUCAUAUAUCUCAAGCAGAAACAAGAAUUAAGCAGCAGAAAAAAAUUACAUUGAACAUAGGCAUAAGCAUAAACAAGAAGGCACCAAAUGACCUUUGAAAAGAACUUUUGAGCAUGACUCCUGAUCUGCACAGCUGUCUUUGUUCCUAUAUAUUCUGCAAAUCACCAUGUAAAAACAAAAUGGAAAGAAAAAUACAACAAUAAAUAACAAAACUAUUCAGUUGUUGGUCCUAACAAACAUAUCCUACGAAUCUUAGCCUCAAUCCACAAAAACACUAGCUCUAAAAUGAUAGCAGCAAAAUCUAAACUAAGAGGGAAAAAGCAAGUGAAAAAACCUUCAAUGCGUUGCCAAGCUCGUCCAUAGAGCUUCAAGGCCUCUAGAAACCUAUUAUGCUCUUCCUCGCUCCAUCUUUCACGUUGUUUCGUAAUAGUAUAAGGCUUCCUAGUCUAUCAUUUAACAUACAAAAUUCAAUGGUCCAAAUUAUAACAAACACAAACCCCCAUUUUUUUACAAAGCUUCAUUUAAGAGAAGAGUUUACCUUAAUAACUAGUUCUUCACCAGAGGAGUAUGUGUCCAUUGAAACAGCGUCACCGCUGCUUCAAAUCCUCUCUAACAAGCAAAGAGUAUAUCACAAACCUCCUUUCAUUUCUUCCAACAUCCAAUACGACAAAUAGUAAUGCCGUUUUUGAGCUCCACAAAACCUGAUGAAUGCUAUUUAAUACUGCAAAAAGAAAAAACACAAAAGAACAACAACAACAAAUCGAUGGAGAUCCGUCUCUGUUUGUAUUUUUAUUCCAAUUAAAUUAAUAUUAAUUUCUCAUCAUUUAAUAAAAAUAUUUACUUAAUAAAAAUUUGGGGUGAAUGCUAAAUCUCUGGAAAAAUUAAAAUAAAAUAAAUAAAAAUUAAGUAUCCACCGUAACAAAGAGAAGAGACGGCUUCUUCCAAAGAACUUAAAAGAAAAUUCUCACCAAAACGAACCCGUAGACGCCAAAACCUUUAAUAGAAAAUGAUACGAAAAAAAAAAAGAAACUUUAAUUAGUAAUCAACAACACACUUCCACUGUUCCACAUCCAAUCUAUCUAUUGACAGCCAAUAAUAAUUCUUCACCUUCUGUUUGGUCGCCGAGAAAAAAAACAAAAGGAUUCAAAUUCAAUCACUUUUCUUUCGUUACUCUACUCAGCUGCAUAUAAAGAACACAACUUCCAAACUCAGCUUAGCAAAGCCUUUAAGGAAGGCCCUAGAAAUGAAGUGUAAAUACCUUAAAGAGAUAACCAUGGAAGAUGACAACAAUGGAAGCAACGAUCACGUAUCAAAAAUGGGUUCACCGGAAACCAGCCGGAGAGCUCAUAGUUUCCGGCAAUGACAAGAUCGGAAUCAACAGAAUUGGAAAAAUUAAAAGUAGUCUUUUUUGGGAGAAAAGAACUUGAAUAAACCCAAAAAAAAAAAGUGAAAGCAAGCUUAUUUUCUGGUGAUAAACUGAAAAAACACCAGAAACUACAGUAUGGGGAAGAAACAAAAGGAGAAAUCUCAGCCACUACAAUUUCAUGAGGAUUUUUUUUUUGGAAAAUUACAAAAAUUGGGCAGAAAAUUAUGUGAGGCUAUAAAAGAAUGAACGGUAAGAUACAUUAGAUGUUGCCAAGUGGCAAUAAUUUAGUGGCUGAUUCAACUAAAAGCCCACCGUUGCACUUUUUCCCUUAUUUUUUUGAUCUUUUUUUCUUUUUGCCCUUCUUGUUUCCUACCUUCAUCUUCAAAUAUCAGCCACAAGCUCCCAAUGGUCUUGGUGUUAAAUUAGUAAAAGCGCCAUUUGGUAUACCACAUGGUUCCUGCCGUCAACGUUUACGCAAUUCGUUGGCGUGGGCAACCGGUACGUGUCGGUUACAGGGGUAGCUUUGGUGUUAAAAGCACCGGAUUUGUGACCAUUAGCCACCGUAUGAGGUGAUGAGAUUUUAGGGUUGCAACAAAUCUAGGGAUAUGCUAUGCUCCCUUCCAUAAGUACUUGUAUUUUUUAUAGAUUUGAAAUUUAGUUCCUGUACUUUUAUUUUUAGGAAUUUAGUCAUUUUACUUUUCAAAUUUUUAAAUUCAGGUUUUACUGUUAACAUUGUUAAAAUUAUUUGUUAAAUUCAAGUUCAUUAUAAUAUUAUUUUUUUAGUUAAGUUGCUACCAAGUGAAUUUUUUUUUAUUUCAAUAUGUAAUAUAAGCCAAUUUAACGAAAAAAAUUAUAACAAUGUUAACAAUUGAACCUAAAUUUUGAAAUAUAGAAAGUAAAGAGACUAAAUUUUAAAUUUACAAAGAGUACAGGGACAUGACAUAUUUUAACCUUUUUUAUUAAACUUGUGAGUUACAACUUAAUUCCUAAAUUUGAAUUUCAUUAGAGUAUAUUAGCGUGUCGCUCUAAUAUUAGGUCACAUUGUCAUUUGAAAAUUUUAAAAAUUUUAUAUGAUAUCUAAAGAAUGCAAAAGGAAAAAAUUAAAGAAAUUCAUGUGGCGAUGGGAGAUAAUCUUAUAAUGUCACAUUAUUAUACUUUAACAAGAUCUAAGAUAAGAAACCAAAUUGAGAAAAACUAUCAAGCUUAAAGACUAAUGUGGAUAAAAAAAAAGUUGAAGGAUCAAGAUGAAAAUUUUAUCAAAUUUAAGAUCUAAAUGUUGCUUUAUGAUUAUUUUUUUUUAUCUUUUUAAGAUAAGAGUAAACUCCAUCAAUAUUCUCUAAACUUCAUUUAAAAAAAUGAUGUAUCAUGUUUUGCCAUUAAUAAUAAUCAGACUAAGCUCAUUUUAAAACAACGCCCCUAUUUAUUGUAAUGAUAUAGCAUUAUUCUUAUUCAAGUGCCUUGAUGUCCUCCGCUAAUGGUUGGAGCCUCCAAUCGAUGGACCUUACAUCCUGCUCAAAACUCUUGCAUAAAGCUUUCAUGUUAGGUGCAAAGAUACCAAUAGUGAAUCCAAACCUCUUUGCCUCAAUCAUUGCUUCUCUUAUUACGAAUAAAAUAGCUUGCUUAGUGGUAACCUCAUGUAAUGUGCUACAAAAACUUGUAAAUUUUAUUCAUUGAAUAUUAAAGAUUGUUAGAGACACUCCGAGGAAGAUAGUCCCUUUCUUCCAAGCUACCAAAGCAAUUCCCGAUAUAGUACCAUGAGGAACAUUCGAUCUAAUUGAUUUGCUCUGUUGUAUUCGAAAAUACCUCUCCGUAGCAUUCUUCCAUUUCUUGUCCUCAAACACCUAUAUUUCAUAGUCCUUGAAGAUUUCAAACCCUGUUGAUUACACUUAAGGAUUAACAUCAUAUCCUUUAAAAUAAUAUUCAUUUAUAUGAAUCCGUAUAUUCUAUAAGAUGCAAAUAAUCACUUAAUGCGUAUCAUCUAUUAAUAAAAGAGAAAAAUUGAUGUUGAUUGUAACACCCCUAACCCGUAUCCGCUGCCAGAACAGGGUUUCAGAGCAUUACUACCAUUUACAGAUCACUAAAAAAAAUUUAAAUACUUACCGAUUCAAUGCAUCAUAUAAAUAAAUAUAUUACCAUUCAAUCAACAGUUUGACACUUGUAUAAGCAUCAAACAACAACAUUGUUAGUAUACUUGCACAUAUCUCAUAUAAAGUCAACAUUGAUAUAUCUAUUUUCUCGACAUAUCGCACUUGAGUUUAAUAAUAGUCUCAACUUACAUAAUUUCCUUGUAUCAACAUAUCAAAGAUAAUCAUAUAUGUACAUGUCAUGAAACAUAUCAUGCUCUUACCGUUUCUUCAUAAGCAUAUAUCAUUCAUUUCAUUAUAUCAAUAUUUCAUACUCCAUCAUUUCCAUAUAUUUUAUGUAUAUUUAUUCCGGUAAUAGCUUAUAUCAAACUUAACAUAAAUUAUAUUCCAUGUACUUAUACUUAUUUCGUUUAUCUAUCUUCAUAAUUAUUUCAUAUAACCAUUCGUCAUCUGAUACAUAUUACCUGAAUAUCAAUUGUUCAACAGAUGUUAGAGCGUCUCCCAUCCACGGUCUUAUUUAUCUUUGACAUGAUGCCAUAGUGUCUUUCAACUAUGGUCUUACUCAUUUUCUGUCAUGUUGCCAUGGUAUCUUUCAACCAUGGUCUUGUUCAUUUCAUAUCACGUUGCCAUGGUAUCUUUCAACCAUGGCCUUACACAUUUCAUAUCUGGUUGCCAUGGUAUCUUUCAACCAUGGCCUUACACAUUUCAUAUCAGGCUGCCAUGGUAUCUUUCAACCAUGGCCUUACACAUUUCAUAUCAGGUUGCCAUGGUAUCUUUCAACCAUGGUCUUACACAUUUCAUAUCAGGCUGCCAUGGUAUCUUUCAACCAUGGUUUUACACAUUUCAUAUCAGAGAGCACACUCCCGCGAACCUCAUCCUUACAGUGGGAUUACCAGUCCAGGCUAAAUCCCUUGUAAUAUAAACUCAUAGAGUAUUGUCGGGAUUACCAGUCCAGGCUAAAUCCCCUGCAACGACAAUUACUCUAAUGAGCUUGGAUCUGAAUUACCAGUCCAGGCUAAAUUCAGACCCUAAUUCGGAUUACCCGUCCGGGCUAAAUCCAUUUUACACGUAUUCUUCGGGAGGGCUAUAUCAAGAUAGGAUCACCCGUCUGGGCUAGAUCCUUUUUACCGUCAAUUCCUUUUCAGAGAUCCAUCGAAUUUUCCUUUCAUUCAACCGAGAUUUCUUCCCAUUUUAUCAAAUAUAUCAAUGUUUCAUAAAUUUUCAUACAAUGAACAUUCAAAUCAUAUUCACAUCAAUAACAUACAAUCUCAAGUAUUUAAGAAUAUAAUUCAAGUUACACGAACUUACCUCAUUGCUUGUUUGUGUUUAUAAUUUCAUUAAUCCGAUAUCUUUUCUUUUCCACAAUCAAGUCUCAUAUUUGAGUCGUCCGGAUCUUUAUAAAUAAAUUUGAUCAUCAUUUUCAUUCAUUUCAUCUUCUAAUGCAUUUAAUUAAUGCUCUAGGCAAGAUUACCAUUUUGCCCCUAAACUUUUAAUUAAUGACAAUUUCGUCCUUAGGGUCAAGAAAAUAAAAUUCUUGCAAUUUAAUCCUUAUUUCCAGCUAUUAUUCUCAUAUAUAUUGAUAACAGUCCAUGGAUUCUAUAAAAUAUCAUAAUUUUCCAUAAUUUCAACACUUUUCAAUUUAAUCCCUAAAACAUGUUUUCCCCCGAUCUUGAACUAAAUUAAUAAUUUCAUUCAAUUUUGUAAUUUAAAUAAUAAAAUAAUCCAUUUCAUGCAAUUUGGUUAUUUUUGACAUUUUUACAAAAUUACCCAUAAAGUUUUACUUUUAUUCAAUUUAGUCCCUAAGCCUAAAAUAUGCAAAUUAACCAUGCUUAAUGAAUAUUCAUAUAUUUUUUCCUCCUCCUCCUCUCCAUUCCACAUACUUGAUGUAUGUAGCACACUUGUAAGUAACAUUAUCUAAAUCUUUAUUAUUUACUUUUAUGAAUAUUCAAGCUGUCCAUCUGUGUCAUAGUCACUAAAUUAUUUAUAUCUGGAUCUAUAGGACUCCAAAUUAAUAUCCGCUAAUUUUCCCUGAAACUAGACUCAUAUAUCUUCUUACCAUAAAAUUUUCAGAAUUUUUGGUUUAGUCAAUAAGUACAGUUUAUUCUUUAAAUUUACCCCUAUUCUGCUGUCUGACAGUUGUGACCCUUCUUCACUAAAAAUUAAUUAUCUCCUUGUACAGAAUUCGAAUGAUGUUCAUAUUUGUUUCUAUUGAAAAUAGACUCAUUCAGGAUUAUAAACAUAUAAAUUUAAUCCCCUAAUUAUUUUUAUCCAAUUUUUUUAUGAUUUUACAAAUUCAGAAUAGGGGAACCCGAAAUCAUUCUGACCUUGUCUCACAAAAUUCAUCAUAUUUCAUGAUUUAGAAUUCCAUUGCUUACAUAAUUUCUUCUAUAAGAAACUAGACUUAAUAAGAUUUAAUUUAAUAUUUUAUUCAUCCUAUAAUUAGAUUUCUACAAUUUUUGAUGAUUUUUCAAAGUUAGACUACUGCUGCUGUCCAAAACUGUUUUAGUACAAGAUAUUAAUUACCAUGUUAUAACAUCCUUAUUUUCUUUUUCUACACCAUUGCUCAUCACUUUCUCUUAUUUUUUCUUCACUAACAUAUCAAGAACAUAGGACCUUAUGUAAGAAAACUCUACUAUAACAUUAUUUCCAUGCUUUAUCAAUAAUAACAAACUUAAAAACAUAUUGAAAUCUUGAUGUACUUACCUUUUCUUAUUGACUUCAAUCUUUAACUUGAUUUUUCUCUCUCCUCCAGCUUCGAUUUCUUGAAUCCAACUUGAUAUUCUUGCUCCCCAUCAUCUCCUUGCUAUCUUUCUCUCUUGAUGGCUAUGGAAAUUCUUUCAAUUUUUAGGUGAAAAUAAUGAAUUUUUGGUGGAAGGACUAAAUUGUAAAGAAAGCAAACUUCUUUUCUUCUUCUUAUCUUGCGUUAGUUUGCAUGGGAAAGGAAAUGUGUUGAUAAUUCUUCAUCUUUCCUUCCUUUUAUACUAAAUAAAUAAUAAUAUAAUAAUAAUAAACAUCUCAUAAAAUAUUAAUAAAAUAAUAUUUAUCUAAUUAAUUAAUUUAAAAUAUCAUCAACAUAAUCAUUACAUUCUAGAAUUCUCUCUCUUAAUUAAUUGACCAUUUUGCCCUUCAUGAUCUUUUAGAAUUCCAUCCUUGAGUCAUCACUUAAUUUGGUAAAAUUACGAUUUAGUCCCUCAUAAUUUUUUUACCUAUUCAAUUUGGUCCUAAUUCAUCAAUUUUUCUUGGUUUCUAGAUCAUUCCACCCUUAAAAUAUUUGCACCAUUAGUCCUUCAAUUUUUUAUAUUUACACUUCAACCCCUUAAAUUUUGAGUAUUUACUCUUGUGCAACAAGACUUUUCUCAUCUUUGCAAUUUAGUCCUUUCUUGAAUUAAUAUAUCAUAAUAUACUUCUCAAUAUUGACAUCACUCAAAAACUCCCUUUUGGUCACUUUAUUUCCUUAUUUUACUAUAUCACGGAUAAUAUUUUACUGUAAAAAUUUUCGGGGUAUUAUAUUGAUGCAUUUCCUCCUUAAUAUAACAUGCAAGAUAAAACUCUGAAUAUCACAAUUAUUAACUUCAGUCGGCUUAAAACCUAAAAUCAAUUCCAACCAAACUACUCUAACUAAGAAGAGAUGAUCAUAGGAUUCCAUAUAUUAGCCACAAAAGCUACAAGUUGUAUCAAAACAAUUAAUUCUUCUACCUAUUUCCUCUUUUAAAGGCAAAACUUUGACACAUAUUUUUUAUAGAAAUAGUAAUUCAAAAGAUUAAUAAUUAAUUUGAACUAUCAUUUUAAUAUUUUUAAAAUUUUUUUAAUUAUUUUAAAAAUUACUUAAAAAUUAUUAAAAUUUUAACCUAAUCCUUUAAACCGGAGCUUUUGGGUUUUACUUUUUUUUUUUUAAAACUUAAUCCUUUGAUGUUUUUCUUAUUCUUUUUAAAUCACACCAAACUGUUAUUUUAGCGUAUACCAAUGAUUAAAGUAUACAAAUUCUCAAAAUUAGAACAGUUAUUUUUAUAAUAAAAUUAUUAAAAUAUAAAAAUAACUCAAUAUUGAAUCAGUUAUUUUUCAAUUUAACAGAUAUUAUUAUGGAAAAAAAAGCUGGGUUUUAAUUAAGAGAACCCAAAACCCCAAUCUUUAAAUUCUACUGAUUUAAUCAAAUUAGCAAAAGUUAAAAAAAAAAAAAAACGACAGUUAGACUACAAGGGAAAAACCAAAAGAGAAAAAAAUUUAUUUUCGUUCUUUUAAUGAUUUUUAUAAUUUUUAAUUAUUUUUAAGAUUUAAAAAAUUGAAAAUAUCAAAAUGAUAUUUUUAACUAUAAUUUAAUAAACAAAUUAAUUAUUAAUCCUUUAAAUUAAGUAUCAUGUUGUUCCCUAACAGAAAUUAACGGACGAAUAAUUAAAAUAUAAUAUUUAAAUAAUAUUAAUAAUCAUUUCGUAUCUUUUAAAAAUUCAAUCAUUCAAUUAAAUAAAAUUAAAUAUUCAAUCGUUACACAAAUUACUAGAGCCAUUGAAAUAAACCAAAAACGGUUCUUAAUUUGUCUACAAAGUCAACACUCUAUCCUAUACACUCACAUGAAUAAAAUUUCAAUUCGGUCAGCCCCUUAAUUAUUAGAUUUAUUCAUGUUAUGCUAAUUAUUCAUUAUCAUCCAAUUCAUACAUUAAUUUGCCUUAAUUAUCCUAAAUUAACAUAGUUAACAAUUAAUCAAGAGGGAAAACAGUUCAUUUGAGUACUCACUAUUUAAUAAUUUCCAGCCAAUAAUGAAAUCAAGUCCUUGAUAUAAUUACACUCAAAUCCCUCUAAACUUCUAUUACUUUUUAAAGUAGUCCCCACCAAUUCACAUUUGUAUCCCUCCACUUUAAGCAUUUAUGUACUAGAUAAUCCCCACUUCAGUUUUCCUACUAUUUUCUCUUAAAUUACACCAUCUCAAUUUACUUAUUUCAUCAUAAAUAUUUAAGUUCACUGUUUAUCUCGAAAUUUACUAUCCGGAUGAUACCAUUUCGUGGUCUAAAUUUUGAAUAGUUUAAAUAUUAUAAAUUUUAAAAAAAAUCUCAAUAAAUUUUGAUAUUGAAUAAAUUGUUCUUCUAAAAAAAUCAAAUCAAUUUAAUCCCUGACAAGUUUAAAAUAAACACUUAAGACAAUUAAUCACACUGUAAUUAUUUUUCAUGAUAUAUAUAUUAUUAAUACAAUUACAAAUUUAACCCACAACAUUUAUAUAUUCUAUCAAUCCAAUUUAGAUGUAAUUAAUUUAAUCCACAAAUUUUUCUCAUUGUCAACAUUUAUGUAGAAUAUAUAAACAUUAAAAAUUAAAUUUAUUAUUAUACUAAUAAAAAUUAUAUAUAUAAUUGACGGAAAAACAUCACUAUUAUAACCAAUUAUCAUUAGUUGCUAUUUUUUAAAUCUACAAACAUCAAUUACUCCAAUUUUGAGAAAAAUUUAAAACCGACUAGAGUAACCAAAAACAAACUUUACUACCGGACAUCCAGAGAAAAUAUCCAUAGUAGAUGUAGAUCAACUAUAUGCUACGGAAUUAAUUUCAAAAAAGUUCUAUGCUGGAGAGAUGUCGGUACCAUUUGUAUCUUCGUCUUCAAAAUCUUGAAAAAUAUGUUAUUAUUGUUUUGGGAAAUAUGUUUUCCUGAACUAAAGUAAAUUGGAAAAUAUUUAGUGCAUUGGUAAUUUUUAAAUAUUAUUUUUGGAAUAAAAAAUUAUAUUCUCAAUGUAUUAUAUACUAAUUCAAAUAAAUUUUAGUUAAAAAUGAUGAUAAACUAAUUUUUAAUAAAAGUAAUAUUAAGUACUAAACAAUUAAAUACAUCAAAAGUAACAUGUUUAUUGUAUAUAAAAGUGAAUAAAAUAUAUACAAAACAUAAAUAAUAUGAAAAUAUAUUAUUUAAUUUUAAUAUUGACAACACUACUUAUCAGAUAUAUGUAUACAUUUGCAAAGCUUCCGAAAACAAAAAACCACAAUACAAAAACAAUGAGUCAAUUGGUAACUAAACACUAAAGCAAACAGACAAGGCUUGGAAGGAAAAAAAAGAGUAGAUAUACUUUUUGGUUCUCUUAUGACUUUAUUAUUUAGAUUGGUACUUAAUAAAAGAGUCGACUUCUUGGGGCAGCCAACUCAAACUCUCAACAAUUGAAAAUAUUGUAUUGACAUUAAGGUUUUGUCUAGCUUCCAUAGAAAGUCAUGUACAGUUCACAAGAAAAGUACUUUAAUUAAUGGAAAUAGAUAUCUACAAAACUCGGAAAAAAUAUCAAUAUAAAGUGUGCAAAUAAUAAUGAAAAUACUUAGGUACCCCACAACUUAAGACACCAAGGUACCUCCAUUAUUAUUCACCCACCUAUACUCUCACUUCUCCCGAGUCUUGCAGGUGACUAUUUCCACCAACUGAGGUACCCCUUGAUAAAUCGUACAUGACUCUCCAUAAAAGUUAAGGACAAAACCUCGACACAAGGAUAAAACCUUCAAUUAUAGAGACCGAAUCAACUACCCGACAAACGACAUUCCAAGUAGGAGCCAAUCCCCCCUCAAUAGUACCUAAUUUCUUUAUAUAUUUUUUUCAGACUAAAAUUUGAUUUCCACCACACAUGUUAGCCCAUUUUUGAACCUUCGUUAAUCUUGAUUUAACCACAUGGGACACAUCAUGUCAUCAACUAUGUACCUACCAUGUGUAGUAAAUUUAUUGGACCACAUAAUCCAAUUUUAAAAGAGUUACAAAAAAUUGACUAAAACCUGUAAGAAAAGCCAAAUUCGAGUACCAAUCUGAACAAAAAAUAUAUAUGUACCAAUUUAUACAUCAAAACCAAACGUACCAAAAAAUAUAUCUACCUAGAAAAAACUAAGCAUAAAAACAGUUGAACUAUGAACUCAGUGGGGCAAUCUGUUUAAAUUGCCUUUUCAUGCAUAAUAAAGGUUUCAGCUUCAGCUAGAGUUCACUAAGCAAAAGGUAUAAGAAUAAUGAUAAAGACAAAGGCAUUCAGAUUCAAUACUUCCUUUAAAUGCUUCUAUCUCAGAGGGAGUUUUUUAACUGCAGUAGCAAGCAUAAAAAAGUCCAGGAAAGCGAAUAAGUCAAUGUAGAUAUUAGAUAGUACACAACACCACCUACACGAAAAGUCUCGUGAGCUGCAAUCGAAUAAAAGUCUUUUAAGAUCAACAUAUGAAAAGGAAAUAAGAUAUGGGGGAAGAACAUUAGAGAUUGCAUUCAACAAACAAACUUUGCCUUUGUUAAUUGUAUGCAAUUGUGUAAAAGUCAAGUUGACGGUUCCCCUUCCAAGCGUACCCUCUUGGGACAUUUCUCUUCACCUUGACUGCCAGUGUUCAUCACUCUGUUUUCUUUGGCUUCCACAGAACACCUUUUGUAAGGUUUAAAUCCAGUUCGGCCAGCUUUUAGUUUUGAAUGUCCUAAUCCAAUAGUCAGCAGGCCCUCUUCUGUACUGUUCUUGUCUCUUGAUAAUGCAUUUUUCACAGUUUCUUGAUGAUCAGAACAAGAACCCCAUGUAUUGCUGUUGAGAUCUAAAGUUGAUAUUUCUUCGUCUUCCUCAGCUGGAUUUUGCUUGUCUUCACCUAUAUUUUCCUUUUGCUGCCCCUUGCUCUUGCCGUCAUGUGGAGGAGAAAAGCUUUGUGGGAGUACCUCCCGGGAGAAGAGGGCUUGAAAAGCUAGCCGCCCCUGAAUAAGUAGUGGAGCCAUACAGUGGCAAUUGUACAAAACAAUUAGAAUAAUAAUUAAAGUUGGGCUAUAUGGGAAAAUUGACAUAUCGACUCACCUCUUCAGAUACCUCCUUCCAAGAAUCACUCAGGUUGCUAUUGCUUCUACUACUACGACGGUAACAUUCAACUUGUGGAUGAUUGGGGUCAGCUCCUUUUGAAUCUUCCUUGUCUUUUUCAUGUUUUUCUAACGCAUCUGUCUCUACCUCACUGCUUGAAGGAGUGUUGGAGCCACAUGAGGACCGGUCAACUUGUUUUUUGUUCUUUGUUUUAUUUGCAUCCUGAGGCUCAAUUACUUCAGCAGCCGUCUCAUCAUCGGUAGCUUUCACUCCAGUAUUCACUUUUGCAUCUCCUCUCUCUUCACAGUCCGACGAUGAUGAAGUAGGUGAUUUAGAUGAUGAAUGCUGACCUUGCAAAGCUUCAGAGUUCUCAGGGUCUAGUUGCUCAACCUGCAGAGAUAGAGCUUGAUCAGUUUUACCCUUUUGUUCUGUCUUGGCAGCUGGAGGUUGACCAUUCUCCAUUGGUGGAACUGCAGCAGUGGAUGCAGGAAAACAGGUAAAGCCUGUAUGCAGAGGAGCACAUACAGGAAACAGUCCAUGGGCGGCCCACCAUGCAGUGGCAGCUGCUACAGUUGCAGCAGCGAUUGCAGCCAUUCUUGGAGCAGAGUUCAUUUGUCUAGAUGGGAAACCUCCUAAGCCGCCUGCAGGAGAAUCGCCAGAGCUUUCAAUAUUCGCAUAAGGCCAAAAUCUUGCUGCAAAGCUUGCUGCAGCAUGGGCAGCUGGAUUCUGUAACAAAGUAGAUACAAUGAGACUGGAAAAAGUGGAGGAGACAUGUAGAAAUGAUCGAUAGUCCUCUUGAUUUGGGCGAAGAUGCAUAAAGGGAGUAUGAAAAG
Molecule: long non-coding RNA, 16301 nt
Filed under: Gossypium barbadense (sea-island cotton)
Lineage: Eukaryota; Viridiplantae; Streptophyta; Magnoliopsida; Malvales; Malvaceae
Description: long non-coding RNA (GBAR_LNC011663)
Source: RNAcentral